RNAcentral lists this ribosomal RNA (466 nucleotides) under uncultured Thauera sp. RNAcentral describes it as "bacterial SSU rRNA". It matches the Rfam family "Bacterial small subunit ribosomal RNA", at positions 917 to 1381 of the family's 1533-position model. The record is from RNAcentral. Lineage: Bacteria; Pseudomonadati; Pseudomonadota; Betaproteobacteria; Rhodocyclales; Zoogloeaceae.
ACGGGACCGCACAAGCGGUGGAUGAUGUGGAUUAAUUCGAUGCAACGCGAAAACCUUACCUACCCUUGACAUGUCUGGAACCUUGGUGAGAGCCGAGGGUGCCUUCGGGAGCCAGAACACAGGUGCUGCAUGGGCUGUCGUCAGCUCGUGUCGUGAGAUGUUGGGUUAAGUCCCGCAACGAGCGCAACCCUUGUCACUAGUUGCCAUCAUUUGGUUGGGCACUCUAGUGAGACUGCCGGUGACAAACCGGAGGAAGGUGGGGAUGACGUCAAGUCCUCAUGGCCCUUAUGGGUAGGGCUUCACACGUCAUACAAUGGUCGGUACAGAGGGUUGCCAAGCCGCGAGGCGGAGCCAAUCCCACAAAGCCGAUCGUAGUCCGGAUUGUUCUCUGCAACUCGAGAGCAUGAAGUCGGAAUCGCUAGUAAUCGCAGGUCAGCAUACUGCGGUGAAUACGUUCCCGGGUCUU